UAAAUGGAUUGAAUGCAUAGCUCAGUUCUUGGCUGCAGGGGCCUUCUGGAAAGGCCUGUGACUGAGAAAUGCAGGCCUGGCUGCAGAAGACACCUCAGAAGAAGUGGGCUGGGGAGGAGAGCCUGGCUGCCAGCCAUCCAGCAAUAAAGAUAGAGAGUACAAUACCGGCACUGGAUAAUCAACAUGGAUAUUCAAUAUUUCAGAGAGGGAAAGAAAUUGCACUGGUCAAUUUAAGUAGAUGAAGGCAGAAAUUUGGUGUGGAUUCUCUCCCCCACCCCAACAGUAAUGAGUCUAUUUUGCCACUGGAUGAUAAAUUAGACAUUUAAUAUUCAAAAGAAAUGCCUUUCUAAGCACAUGCAACCAAGAUGUUUUCAUCUUAGCUCUGGUUGUCAAAGAAAUCUUUAAUUUUCAGUCCUUCUCUGCAAAAUGAUUGUUCUUUCAUUUGUGAAGAUAAAUGAGAAGGUACAAUUUGCUGAUUAUAGUCUGCCCUUUCUAAAGUUUGGAACUACAACUCUUUAACUACAGCAAUGACCACCCUGAAUAACAACAAACAAAUGUUGAUAUAUUAUUAAAAAUUACAAUUGUAUGUUACAGAAUGUUGGAAUAAUGUCUGAUCAGAAAAAAAAGCACCAAGAUUCAUAAAAAAGUACUUAAUGGAAGUUAGAAGGGACUGUAUGCACCAACUGAAGUGCAUAAAUAGAAAUGUUUACUAGGAAUGCAGAUGGGGAACCAAUAAGGUAUUUUAUGUGGAAGAUUUGUAUGAAAGAUUCAUAUAUGCACAUGCCAGCAUAUGAACAAAAUAUACAUGAACAAAAUAAUUUUGGUCUUCUGAAUUUUUAUAUUCUUAAAAAUAGUCUUGUAAUGGAAGAAGCCAAUAAAUGUUUCAGAGAUUAAUAUUCACUAAUCAUAUUUUAUGAUUAUAGUCUCAGAGAAAGAAAAAGAGAAUGCUAAAAUUCUAGUGAGUUCCAUUGAGCAUUAAAAGUAUGAUUGGCAAACAAUGUUUUUCUCAGUAAAUCAUUUCCAGAAAUGGGAAGCUAAUUCACAUGGCACCAUAAAGCAGUCUCACUAGUAACAGUGGGAAAAAUGAAAUUAAUAGAUGAAAACAAAGCAUAAGUAGUACAAAUGGCCAAGUUUUUGAGCAGGAUCUGACAUGCAAAAUAUGGCAGUGUAACAGAAUGUAGAAAUAAAUACCUAAGCUACAUAUUAAAGUCCAGUGAUACUUUAUACCCAGGAUUAGAAAAUAUAAUAGUAUAUAAUAUUCAAUGUGCUAACAUGGACUAUUGUUUUAAUGAUCUUAUCCUCUUGUUCUUCAUAUUCUUAUGUACCCUUUAGACAAAAUUCUUAGAAAAAGCUUUCUGUGCAGUCUGAAUUAUUUUCACAGAAGUUGCUGAAUAAAGGGAUUGUGAAA
Molecule: long non-coding RNA, 1408 nt
Organism: Crotalus tigris (Tiger rattlesnake)
Lineage: Eukaryota; Metazoa; Chordata; Lepidosauria; Squamata; Viperidae
Exons: 4
Source: RefSeq, a predicted model, not a curated record